GCCAGACUCCUACGGGAGGCAGCAGUGAGGAAUAUUGGUCAAUGGGCUUACGCCUGAACCAGCCAAGUCGCGUGAGGGAAGGCUGCCCUAUGGGUUGUAAACCUCUUUUGCCGGGGAGCAACGGGCGUCACGUGUGGCGCCACUGAGAGUACCCGGAGAAAAAGCAUCGGCUAACUCCGUGCCAGCAGCCGCGGUAAUACGUAGGGGGCGAGCGUUAUCCGGAUUCACUGGGUGUAAAGGGAGCGUAGACGGCGACGCAAGUCUGGAGUGAAAGCCCGGGGCCCAACCCCGGGACUGCUCUGGAAACUGCGGCGCUGGAGUACGGGAGGGGCAGGCGGAAUUCCUGGUGUAGCGGUGAAAUGCGUAGAUAUCAGGAGGAACACCGGCGGCGAAGGCGGCCUGCUGGACCGUGACUGACGUUGAGGCUCGAGAGCGUGGGGAGCAAACAGGAUUAGAUACCCCAGUA
This 466-nucleotide ribosomal RNA is filed under the name uncultured bacterium. Its description in RNAcentral is "partial 16S ribosomal RNA". It matches the Rfam family "Bacterial small subunit ribosomal RNA", at positions 330 to 792 of the family's 1533-position model. The record is from RNAcentral.